AUUGACUGGGCGUAACGAGCUCGUAGGUGGCUUGUCGCCGUCGUCUGUGAAAGUCUSGGGCCUAACUCCGGGUGUGCAGGCGACACGGGCUGGCUUGAGUGCUGUAGGGGAGACUGGAAUUCCUGGUCGUAGCGGUGGAAUGCGCAGAUAUCAGGAGGAACACCGAUGGCGAAGGCAGGUCUCUGGGCAGCCACUGACGCUGAGGAGCGAGAGCAUGGGUAGCGAACAGGAUUAGAUACCCUGGUAGUCCAUGCUGUAAACGGUGGGCGCUAGGUGUGGGGACUUUCCAUGGUUUCCGUGUCGUAGCUAACGCGUUAAGCGCCCCGCCUGGGGAGUACGGCCGCAAGGCUAAAACUCAAAGGAAUUGACGGGGGCCCGCGCAAGCGGCGGAGCAUGUGGAUUAAUUCGAUGCAACGCGAAGAACCUUACCUGGGUUUGACAUGCACUAGAUUAGGCGAGAGAUCGUCUGUCCCUUUGUGGCUGGUGUGCAGGUGGUGCAUGGUUGUCGUCAGCUCGUGUCGUGAGAUGUUGGGUUAAGUCCCGCAACGAGCGUAACCCUUGUCUUAUGUUGCCAGCACGUUGUGGUGGGGACUCGUGAGAGACUGCCGGGGUGAACUCGGAGGAAGGUGGGGAUGACGUCAAAUCAUCAUGCCCCUUAUGUCCAGGGCUUCACACAUGCUACAAUGGCCGGUACAGUAGGUUGCGAGACCGUGAGGUGGAGCUAAUCGCGUGUUAAAGCUGGUCGUAGUUCGGAUUGG
This 758-nucleotide ribosomal RNA is filed under the name uncultured Corynebacterium sp. Its description in RNAcentral is "bacterial SSU rRNA". It matches the Rfam family "Bacterial small subunit ribosomal RNA", at positions 549 to 1301 of the family's 1533-position model. Lineage: Bacteria; Bacillati; Actinomycetota; Actinomycetes; Mycobacteriales; Corynebacteriaceae. The record is from RNAcentral.